UUGUCUCCUAUAGGCUUCGCCUGAAUCUGACCACCUUCGUGAAGGCCAUCAGGAAUUUCUGAGUGUUCCUGGAAGCGAUGGAGAAGCUCACGCUCUUCAGCAGCAAUUAAAAGAAAAAACUGAUAUUGUAAGGGUGGUUAUUCCAACUCCCAGUCUCAGUGGCCAAGCGCAAGAGGAAAGCCGUUGUCCAUUCAGAGAGACUCCUUUGCCCAGGGCAUCUCCAAGCUUAUUGGAAUGNGUCUUUCAGUGAUGAAUGUUGGGAGGAGAAGCAGGAUAUCAGUUCUCAUGCUCACGACUCACACCUUAAUAGGAGCUGGGGAACCUGGAGAGAUCCAGAUGUUGCAGGACUACAGAUCCUGUCAGGCCUGUGUUUUGAUCAUGCUAGGUGGUACAAAGUGUUAACUCCAAGCUGAACACCAAUUGGAGGACUCCCAGUUAGCCAUGCUUGUAUUAAAUGCGUAAUACUUCCUCAGUGAUAAGGAACCAGAAUCUUGAUACAUUCUUUUUUGGAGAGGAGCUAUGAUCUUUGUUGGAGGAAGCAAGGUUUUCUGGAAAUUGAUGGUGCUGCUGGCUUUUACAAUAUAAUUCUGUGCUUUUUAAUGGGGAGGAAUGCUGUUUAAUCCAUGGAAAGCAGGAGAAAUAUUUUAAAUAAAUGGGUCAAGUCUCUGAAGCCAAAGAUUAAUGACANGCCCAUUAAAGUGAAUCCAGUUGUAAUAUCUUCCCUUUCCAGAUCUCUUCCAUGANUUUGGAGAUCCAGAUUUUGAAGGAGAAGAAUGAGAACCUAAUGAAAGCUAAACUGAGGUUCCAGCAGCAAAUUCAAGAGAUCCGCAGACUUUCAACACAGCGACCUGGAAAAAGCAAUGCAGAGCUUCUGGUUCCUAAGCUCUCCAUGAACUGGGGACAGGAUUUGCAAAGGGCCGACAGCAGUGAAGCCUCUGCAUCUNUGCCCCAAAGUGGUGAACCCAUGAGCAGUGAAAACCUUCCUGUGGCCGCCCAGGGAGCCCAGCUUUGCUCCAGGGCUGAAAUUAAGCCCAGUUGCACCUCUUUGGAUACCAGCACUGUGCCUCCNACAUCAGCAAGGCCUGGAGCUCACAGAACCUCCCCCUCCACUGUGCCUCUUGAGUCAGACCCAGAACUCUGCAACACUGCUGCACCUCCCAUCAGGUUGGACACUGCAACCUCCUUGUCGGAGGGGAGGUGGCAGGCUGAGAGUGAAGGAGCCACAUGCAGUCCUCAGGGCUCGAUUCUUCUGUCGCCAAGGCCCUUUGGACCCCAAAGACCAUGGUCUCCCUUUAAAUUCAAAGGGAACCUUGAAGCAUCAGAAAACUGAGAAUCAGUGUCACUCUAGGAAAAAACCUCAUGCACAAUGGUUCUCUAAAAGGUUCAGCUGUGGGAUGGAGAAAGCACGUGUUCAGUUUCCCCCGUCAGCGCUGAGCAUGGACACCUGAACCAGCUGGCGAAACCCACAAUGUCAAAUGUGUUCCAC
Molecule: long non-coding RNA, 1486 nt
Filed under: Salvator merianae (Argentine black and white tegu)
Lineage: Eukaryota; Metazoa; Chordata; Lepidosauria; Squamata; Teiidae
Description: lncRNA (ENSSMRG00000022682.1)
Source: RNAcentral